UCUGCUGUUGAGUAACGUGCUCUCCCGUCUCUCUACUUCGGUCGACCUGACCGCCCGCUCUUUGCGAUGCUAGAAUAAACAAGUUGUUCUGUUAGCAGUCGCCUCAUGCUUUGCUGGGACCUUCGGAUGCUUCCAGUGUGCCCCAGGCCGCCAGGCCUACGCUACCCUUGGGGCUUGCGACCCAGUUGCAAUAACGGGCGUCAGCACUGAGGUUCCAACAGCCGGUGCCAUCGGUGCGGAUCAAACAGCGGCGACUGAAAGGGCAACAAAAGCGUUCGGAGAAGCGGGGAAAUUCCUGCGUCCGGCGUUAUCAUCCGAUGGUACCAAAACCCACGUGACCAAGUUAUGACGUCACGUUCCCGGUGCUGGACCUGCCUGGGCUCGCACUGCGAAAUGCCGUGGCGCGCAGCCAAAAGAACGACCUGGCCCACUUCCAAAUUGGAUUAAGCCCAGGCACGCCGGCUGAAACCAAGUGGUACACAGUCCAUGAGCGCUUGUCCACCCAGUGCGAUGCAUUGAGACAGUUCCACGCUGCGC
Molecule: long non-coding RNA, 537 nt
Organism: Dermacentor albipictus
Lineage: Eukaryota; Metazoa; Arthropoda; Arachnida; Ixodida; Ixodidae
Source: RefSeq, a predicted model, not a curated record